RNAcentral lists this ribosomal RNA (205 nucleotides) under uncultured Ureaplasma sp. Its description in RNAcentral is "partial 16S ribosomal RNA". It matches the Rfam family "Bacterial small subunit ribosomal RNA", at positions 163 to 355 of the family's 1533-position model. Lineage: Bacteria; Bacillati; Mycoplasmatota; Mycoplasmoidales; Mycoplasmoidaceae. The record is from RNAcentral.
CUAAUAACCGAAUAAUAACAUCAAUAUCGCAUGAGAAGAUGUAGAAAGUCGCUCUUUGUGGCGACGCUUUUGGAUGAGGGUGCGACGUAUCAGAUAGUUGGUGAGGUAAUGGCUCACCAAGUCAAUGACGCGUAGCUGUACUGAGAGGUAGAACAGCCACAAUGGGACUGAGACACGGCCCAUACUCCUACGGGAGGCAGCAGCC